GACGAACGCUGGCGGCGUGCUUAACACAUGCAAGUCGAACGGGUCUGCCCUGUUUUUUGCGGGGUGGGUCAGUGGCGAACGGGUGAGUAACACGUGAGUAACCUGCCCCUCACUUCUGGAUAACCGCUUGAAAGGGUGGCUAAUACGGGGUGUUCUGGCUGUGCCGCAUGGUGUGGCUGGGAAAGAUUCACUUUUGUGGUGUUUUGGUGGGGGAUGGGCUCGCGGCCUAUCAGCUUGUUGGUGGGGUGAUGGCCUGCCAAGGCUUUGACGGGUAGCCGGCCUGAGAGGGUGGGCGGUCACACUGGGACUGAGAUACGGCCCAGACUCCUGCGGGAGGCAGCGGUGGGGGGUAUUGCACAAUGGGCGGAAGCCUGAUGCAGCGACGUCGCGUGAGGGAUGGAGGCCUUCGGGUUGUGAACCUCUUUCGCCGGUGAAGAAGGUCCUGCUCUUUGUGGUGGGGUUGACGGUAGCCGGGUUAUGAAGCGCCGGCUAACUACGUG
This 500-nucleotide ribosomal RNA is filed under the name uncultured bacterium. RNAcentral's name for it is "partial 16S ribosomal RNA". It matches the Rfam family "Bacterial small subunit ribosomal RNA", at positions 28 to 507 of the family's 1533-position model. The record is from RNAcentral.